GCUGGGGUUGUGGCUCAGUGGUAGAACACUCAUCUAGCACGUGAGAGGCCCUGGGUUCGAUCCUCAUCCUCAGCA
Molecule: transfer RNA, 75 nt
Filed under: Marmota monax (woodchuck)
Lineage: Eukaryota; Metazoa; Chordata; Mammalia; Rodentia; Sciuridae
Description: tRNA.Ala
Rfam family: tRNA
About the family: Transfer RNA (tRNA) molecules are approximately 80 nucleotides in length. Their secondary structure includes four short double-helical elements and three loops (D, anti-codon, and T loops).
Source: RNAcentral